AUUGAACGCUGGCGGCAUGACCUUACACAUGCAAGUCGAACGUGAAAGGGGGGCAACCCCCGAGUAGAGUGGCGGACGGGUGAGCAACACAUCGGAACGUACCCAGUAGUGGGGGACAACCUCGAGAAAUCGAGGCUAAUACCGCAUACGACCCACGGGUGAAAGCGGGGGACCGCAAGGCCUCGCGCUAUUGGAGCGGCCGAUGUCCGAUUAGCUUGUUGGUGGGGUAACGGCCCACCAAGGCGACGAUCGGUAGCUGGUCUGAGAGGAUGAUCAGCCACACUGGGACUGAGACACGGCCCAGACUCCUACGGGAGGCAGCAGUGGGGAAUUUUGGACAAUGGGGGCAACCCUGAUCCAGCCAUGCCGCGUGCGGGAAGAAGGCCUU
RNAcentral lists this ribosomal RNA (388 nucleotides) under uncultured bacterium. RNAcentral's name for it is "bacterial SSU rRNA". It matches the Rfam family "Bacterial small subunit ribosomal RNA", at positions 29 to 418 of the family's 1533-position model. The record is from RNAcentral.